This 1698-nucleotide long non-coding RNA is filed under the name Cricetulus griseus (Chinese hamster). RNAcentral describes it as "lncRNA (ENSCGRG00000024499.1)". The record is from RNAcentral. Lineage: Eukaryota; Metazoa; Chordata; Mammalia; Rodentia; Cricetidae.
CGUCGCCGCUGCUGCUCUUGAUGCCAUGAAAGGGCGACGCUGGGAAGUGCGCGUGGCAGUUGCGCAGUCGUGCAAACGGAGCAUUCGGGUUGCGUGGGUUGGGGCGCUCUGGGAGCUACCCAACUGUGCGGCGCUGGCCGAGGCCGCUGGAUCCCGGCCUCCGACCCCAGCGGCGGCCUUCCGGACAUGAACUCCGGGGCCGCGUGCGUCUGAGGUCCGAGUCUGCCUUGGUUUGCUCACAGCCGACUAGCACCGAACCGGGAACAGUAAACACCGUUACGGUGAAGUGAAGGAAGCAACUAUCACCGGAGCCUAUCUGAAGCGAUGGGGCAGAUCCGCCUGGAUUCAUUCAGCUGAAGAACAAAUAGGCAUAAAGGCAUGAAGACUCAUCUGGCCGAUGGAUACAGCCAACAGGGAACCGUAAGCAACAGUGUGGACAUGCAAAGGCUGGAAGCCUGCUGGAUGGUGUUGGCGCACACCUUUAAUCCCAGCACUCAGGGGGGUGAGGCAGGCGGAUCUCUGCUGUCCAUCUUUCCUCCAGCUUCAGAGAUAAGCAGAAGGGGUGCUCUCUCUCCCAUCUGAGCUGCCUGGAGCUCACAUCCUAAGAAGUGGUGUUUUUCCCAAGAGAAGCUACCACAGAGCAAGCCUCCUUUCUUGGGGUCCGGCAUCCUGGGCUGCUCCCCAUAUGGAAAGAAAUGUGGACAGUGAUCAACAGUCUGUCGGGCAGUGAAGGCCAGACUCUGAAUCUUGCGGUUGUGUUCCUUCUAAGUUCUCUUUCUUGCUUCAUAACCUUGGGCUAACCCCCAUGCUCACAAAGCUGUCACCUUGCCUUGAGGGCAUGGGGCCCUUGGAGACCACAUGAGCUCCAGCUAAGCAGUAUUCAGUUCCUGUCCCUGCCCAGAACAGGUCACCCCUGCAGGACUGAGAACCUUUGCAGACUCAAAGUAAACCAAAGUCUGGUCUCAGCAAGGUACUCCCCCAUGGUACUCCCCGAGCUAUCCAUAGGCAUAACCAGCCCUGAUCCCUGUGUCCAGUUCAGGACUAUUCUGGCCAGAUCUGCUCCAAAGGCUUUCCUGUUCAGAUUUACCUGGCUUUGUCACAUGAUUUCUUAGAUGAGAGAAGACACUUCUGCCAGAAUCUUCCUGUCCUGUCUGCCCUAAAAUGUGGACUGGCUGUUCCAGUGGGAUUCCCAAGAAGCAAGCAUUAUCCACUGACAGCAUUGACUGCAGCUUAUGCUACUUUGUAACUUUCCAUUUCAACUCUGAGGUGUUGGGGGCAGGAGAGCUCUAAGUACCUGCCCAUCUAAACCACUUUCCUGUAACUUGAGUGAGUCAGUUUGGUUUCUUGAGUCUCCAUUUUCCAUCUGUAAAAUGGAAUAGAUAAUGGGUGUUUCCAUUGUCUGACUCCUGAAGGCAAGUUAGAGUUGUGCAUUUUGUGAACCAUGAGCCUGCCUCUCAAACACUCACUGGGCCUCCAAGCCCAGGAUGAGUCUUCCAGGCAGUCCGCUUUCACAGGUAGUGCUUGGAAGGCUCUUCCUCGAUGGUGGAGGGUAGAGGGCAGCAUUCCUGGCACACUGUGGGUAUGGCCUGCCAGAUUCCCUGGCCCCGCCCAGCUGCGUUCCAGUUUCUGAUGUCAAUUAGUUCUGCUGACUUCAUCAGGGAGGAAGCUUGGGAAGAUAACCAGGCAGGCCUAAGUGUA